GUUGUUUUGUGACAGCUGAGUCAGUUUUCAGUGCCAGCAGAGAGGGCGGUGAGGCUCUGAAGAUGGCGUCACAUCGCUCUGGAAGAAAACAAACUUCUCAAUAUCCUCUCUAUAAUCAGCUCUGACUGCCGGACAUCUGACCUGGGUGCUUUUUUUCUUCGUCAGGAGACUCUCAGAGUUGAGGAGCGAUAAAGAGAAACAGAAGCAUAGCUCCAGCUGGCUGUCAGGAAAACAACCGAUUCUGUUUUUUGUCCAAUAACUCUGAUGUUGUCGGGAAUGAAAUGCUAAGACAUGAAGUUAGCAAGGGAGUCAGCUCUCUCUUGCAGGGUCAAGUAAAUAUUUUCUUUCGUGGUCAGAAUGAAUUAGUAAGAAAUUCCUUAGAGUAUUCCAGCUAUUUCAUAAUGUGUAGUGUAUCUUUUUCACACUAUGAUGUUUUUACCUUCGAGCUGUCACGCUCUGUAUCAAGGAUAGACUCCUGAUAGUGCCAGCAGUCCCUCUCACCUGACAGGCUGCAUUUUGAAAAAGGAAAAGCGAGUACAAACCAAUAAAACAUAGAUGAGGCCAACAACAAGCACCAUGCUCCAGCAGAAUAACAACAAUAACUACCCCUGCCUGAAUGUGUCAGGCUCCACCCGGGAGAUACUCCAGAAGUGCUCCAGAGCCUCUCUGCCCUUCCCCAGCCGACUGGAGCUGGGUCUGGGUGACCUGCCGCUGAUUCGGGGCCUCCGAGCUUGGGCCCUUUGCUCCAAGAACCGCCGGAAGGCUGGUGGUCUGCUUGGAGGAGGACAAGCCCCGACAGCUCCUCCUGCAGGCCGCCGUGGCUCCACUUCCUGUCCCAGGCCUGCAGAUGUGUAUCUGAGCGGGGAGUGGGGUCGCAUGGGGUACGGGCUUCCCUUGGGGCUGGAUGCUGGGCAGGCCGGGAUUGGAGCUUUGGUUACAGUUGCCACUCUGAAGACCUCAGAGGGCAGCGGGAAGACACAGACGCAAUGCCUCUUUCUCCGGACUGAGAAAGGUAGCUGUUUGUACUCGACAGCUAAGCCUGGUUCUGGUGUGACUACCAGUGCAGCCUCCAGUGUGGUUGGGGGGUGGCUGAGAGGAAAGACAGGAGGAGGAGGAAACAGAGACACACCAGCCGGGAGGAGGGACCAUGGGCCAACUCCUCUGGCACAGACCGGAGCAAACCGGGUUAGAGUGCGAUCUGGCCGGAGAUGGAGGAAGUCCUGUAACGCAGCUGGUCGUGAAAAAACAGGCGUGAGCAGAGAGAGGCAGCAGAGUAGCAGGGAGGAUCCUGCUGGAGAAAUCACUCUGGAAGAAAGGCAGGAAGAGCGAGACAAAGGAGGCCUGGACAGUAAACAGUUUCCCAGCUCGCAGCAGGACAUCAGGAGAGCCAGACAGGAGGGAGCAUUCAGAAGUCCCAGAUGCUGCCACAAUGCUUCUCCCAAAACCUGUACUCAGUGUGGAAGGAGAGCACAGAGGAGGGAAAGCCAGGCUGAACAUGAGAGAGGUGAAAGUCCAAGAAGAGACGUCCCAAACAGGCUGAAUAGUGAGGUGAAGGGAAUGAGGAAGGAGAGGCAAAAGAAUGAGGAGGAGGAGAAGGGAGUCCUUUGCGGGUUUGAGUCAUCUAACUCAGUUUUGGCCGAACCAAACCCUGACCUAGAAUCUAACAACUUUCAACAAGAAUCCCACAACAGCUGUGAUGUUGAAGCGAUUAGAGAAGCCGAGAGCAAUGAGGAGCUGAAGACACAAACCUCUCACAGCAAGGACGGCUAUUCACAGAAAGAGGAGGACACACAAACUGAAGUUAUGGUAAUACAUACAAACAAUGAUCCCCACUCUGAGCAUUCGACUGAUGACUUUACAUCAAGACAUAACCGAGAUUUUGAUGACAGAAAACCAAGUGAAAACCCCUGUGAGGAAAUAGCAGCUGACGUAAAUGGAUUUUCUGAUCGUGUGGAGGCACAUCAAGAAUCAGAGAAAGACGAGGAGAGUGUAGCUGUUAAGGAGGAGGAAGGGAGCAUCAAUCAGACUCCUGCUGAAUUCUCGAUUGUAUCCAACUGCUGCGAGGAUGUCUCUGUCUCUACCUGCCGUGCCUCUAUCAGCACUGCAGUCCCCCCUGAGCUUUCUGCUCCUGUAGAGGGCGGCACCUGCAGUGCUGAGCAGAGAACAGAGACAGAGAACAGCAAAGAAGAUCACCUCAAGGGGUAUCAACAAGGGGCAGCAGAUCCUGGGAUCAUGGGUGGAGGAGAACUGGAUGUUAGCCGAUCCGAUCGACAGGAACCGAACUGUGCGGCUGACGAGAACAACACUGUGAACGAGAACAGAAAACCUCUGUUAUUCUUUAAAAAUGUGGAAAACAGCAGCCAGCUAGAAGAGAGAGAUGCUUCAUCUUCACCUCUUAGACACAAAGAUCCUUCCAUCCUCGAGAUAGAUGGGAGGAUCGUAAUGGAAAACGGUUGCAACUCUAGUACAACCGAGCUUAACGGAGCAGAGCGGAGAGAUGGGCUGGUGAGGGUAAACAGAGAAGAGGAGUCAGAUGGAGAGAAUAUAGAAGAGAGAGUAAAUCCUGAGCAAGGGGAUGAAGCUGGGGAGAUGUGGAGGAGGGAGUGCACCUGCAACGAGCUGGACGAUGGCGAUGGUGAAGGUGAUGGCGACAAAGAACGCCAAGGCGAGGACGACAUAAAUGACAUACAGGAGGAUGAUAAUGAAGACGGAACGAGAAACUGUGCACUGACAGCCAACUGGAGGUUACAGGAGUCUGCAGAUGGAUGCAGGGGAGGGAUGGAAGAGGUUGGAGACACCUGUGGGCAAACAAGCAGAGAGACCAGCACUAACGUCACUAAUAUGGCCUGUGCUGAUCCCUCCACCUCUCUUGCGCUCUCCCUGACUAAUCCUGCCCCCUCUUUGCCCCCCCUGGAAUCCAUGGCAACCGGCCUGCCCUGUCUGGAGGCAGAGAAGGAGGAAGGGGUCAGAGUGACAGCAGGAGACGGAGAAGGAGGCCGGGAAGGGAAGAGGAGGCACGGGAGAGAGCUGGAGGAGCAGGACAAGGAGGAGAGGGGCUCCACCGUGGCCCCCACUGAGGAGGGGAGGAAAGAGGAGGAGGAGGAGGAAGAGGAAGAUGAGUUUGGAGUGUUCAUGCAAGCGGAGGGAGAGCUGGGCUGGAGCGAGGGAUCCACCACGUCUGCCUCAGUGCCUUGUGGGAGCAGAGAGAGUGUUGCACUUGGAAACCACGCCAUCACCGGGGAGUCGACCCACUGGACACCAGGCUGGACGGACAGCUCGUUCCACCAAUCAGACGACACCUGGACAGCCUUUCCUCAGGAUUCGUCAGAUGGACGUAGAGACGUCGUGGGGCAGUGGUGGCCAACCAGCGCUGUGGAGGAGAGCAGAGACAGACUCUUCACCAAUCAGAAUCUGGCGGCUGUCUUUGCUGAAGCCUUCCCCUCGCUGCCUGGUGCGUCCGCAAGUGACCCCUGUGACCUCCAUAAUGUUCCCACACUGACCCAGCUCCUCAGGGGCAAAGCCAGCCAGGACCAGGGGCUGUUGGACAGUUUCCAUGACUUGAACAAAAUGAUUUGCCAGAGGUACAAGAGAGCUAAUGGCGUGUCUCGUGACCUGCUGCUGAAGACUUUACACCUGCAGCAGCCGCACACUGAAAGCAGACCUGCUCCCCGGACAGCCAACCGCCGUCUCUCCCCCGGCCUCCCCUCAGCCAAUCAGCACGCCCAGAACGCUGCCGCUAAGCGACGGCUGUCAUAUGACUACAACAGGAACAUCAUGGAGUAACAGUGUGGGUUCAGCUCUGGUUGGACUGCGACUUACCUGAAGAACUGCAGCUUUUAACCCGAGCUGGGCAGAGGUUUCUCAAGACUCUGGAGUCACAACAUGUGUCCUAUCUGAUAGUCAAAUACUGACCGACCUUUUGACUCUUUGCACACUCCCUGGUUAUUUGAGCCUGAGCCAGUGAGAAGACGUAACCUGAAUGAAAACGGAGCGACUCACUUCAGCUGUGUUUCAGAAGUUGUCUCCUCCAGCUCCUGUUGAUGUAUACUGGUGGAGUGUUUCCAUCACACACGAGCCACCUUGUUCACCACCACCACCACUCCGUCAUGUUCAUUUUCCUUUUACACCCUGAGAACAGCGGGUUGUUUGGAGCGUGAUGACCUGUAGUUACUCGGCACCACGUUGUUCCUGGUAUUUUAUCUGAGAAGAUUUAAAUUAUACCUAAAUAGAAAUAGAUCUGUGUGUGAGAGCUGCUGCAGAAAUGGUCUCACUGUUUGAAUUAAAUCUCACUGGGUUGAGCCAAACUAAAACAUUCACUUGCCAGGAAUGAAAUGGUUAAAGAUAAAUAUCACAGAAGUUCUGCUUUCCUGACCACUGCGUUCAUGAUUUUGGAAGCACAGCAUGCUUGCUAACUAGCUUAUCUGUAUUGAUAUAGGCAUUUAAGGCUAGUUUGAGCAUGCGGUCAGCUACGAUACUGUAACUAGCAAACUUUUGUCAUUAUUUGUGGAUACACUUUUUCCACACUUCUCUUUAUCUUUUGCAAAUAUUCUUAUUCUUACCCAGAGUAUUGCCUCUGUGGCUCCACCGAUGAGUCAUCUAACUCAACCAAUGAGAUUGUUUCUCCUUCCGGAGCAGCUCUGCCGGAAAGGUUUGUAGGACUGAUGUUGUGCUUGUAUCAUGUGGAAAUGGAAGAGAGCAAUAAGAGCAAAGGAUUUCUGUUACAGCUUACAAGCAUUCAAAUUAUCCGAUGGUUCACGUUCACAAUUGUUACUGAUUUGCACUUUUAAGUAAUAGUUAUUCAGCAAUGAGCUGCAGUUUAUUUUACUGUUCGGGUGCAAAACAAUUAAUAAUAAUUUAUAUUUGCAACAUUAGCAUUGAAUUAGUCACUGUGAAGGAGCCAUUCAUGUUUGCUUUUCGAGCAAUUCUAUAUUAUUUAGCAACAAGUCUGAUCAAUUGGAGCUUUCAGAAAAGCUAAUUUUACAUCCAUCUGAUAUGAAUGUGACAAAGAGCAUCAACCUGCCUCCCAGAAAUUAUGUUUUCAUUUUGUUGGAGAAAAAAGCAGACAAUGACAUAAUGGUGGCUUGACCUUGUGGCUGAAAAUCUUUAUUCAAACAUGCCGUAACACCUCCCCCCUUUUCAGUCGUCCUCCUAACAACAGAAGCCGGCAGUGUGAAAUGCUGUAUGGACUGCAGCGUAUCUCUACAGAUCUCAAUGUCAGCUGGAUUCACGCAAAUGUCAAAGCUCAUAUACCGCCCUUUCUUGUUUUUCAAUGAUAGAAGUAACAGAAAAGCAUUAUUUUAACAUGCAGAAGGCUGAAGAUGGGUCCAGAUGUGAGGAGUCUUACAGUUUUUUGUUGUUGAUGCAUGUGCUUUCAUUGUGUAUUUGCGACAGAAAAGCCAGAGAAAAGGAAUGAAUCCUCAAAUUAUUUUGGUUCCUCAGAGAAACAAGUUUGUCUUCCAGUUAGUGCCAACAGGAACACCAAUGAAAGUGCCAAUGUUUACGAGGUUAGAGAAGUGAAGCAGACACAUUCAGGAGGAAAUGUCGCCUCUUGUUUCUCAGACACUGAAGUGGAAAUUUUGGCAUGUGAUGUUUUUCUCUCUUUGUCUGGCUCUCUCUCUUUCAGUACACUCACAGCUCAGUCCACUUCACGGGCAAAACUUGAAUCUAGCUGCCAAUCGAAACAAUAUUUCUAUGAGAAUAUUGUUCACAUUAUGACCAUGUCAAUGAUGCACUGUACCUUUUAAUUUAAACAUACUAUUACAUAUUAUCACCCCAGAACGUUGAUUUCGCUCUACUUUGUAUAUUUCACGUGUCAACUCAAUCAUUUGUGAUGAUAUUCAGAAACAAUCAUUUGUGUUUGUCUGCCAUUUGUGCAAAUUCCUGAAAAAGAAAAAGAUUAAUAUUUUCUGAUCUGUUCAAAUGGGGAAAAAGGAGUUGUCGCCUUGUUAACUGAUGUAAUAAAAUGAUACUGUGUGAUGGCUGACAGCUUCCUCGUGGCAUUCAGAAGUAUGGGACAUGUUCAUUAUAAUAAGAGAUAUCCAUCAACCGGCAAGCAACAUGAGCUAUAACCACCACAGCAAAAGAUAUUUGAGACCUUUGCCUCAAACCGAGAAACAUUUUGGAAUCAGAUUUUUUAUAAAUAUUGUGGAAUGAACAUCUACUUCCCAAAUAGAUCUAGCUAUUUCAAAUGAAAUAAUGUACAUUGAAGGACUCUUUUAAUGUUCCUUAAGAUGACCCUACCAUUAUCCAAAAUUGUUUUUCACCUCUAAACAAGUUAGAAAGCACUGAAUCUGCAUAUGGAUCCCGAUCUACAUACUACAGACAGUGAUAUACAAUUGUGAGGAUUUUUGAAGAAUAUGUAAAUCCUGUCCAGGAUUAUUCAGACUGUGUGUACGGAUACAAAAUCAUAAGAGUUAUGGCCAUUUAAAAUUCCUCAUACUGCUAUAACACACAUACAUAUGAAAUGCCAUCAACUCUUACUCUGACUUGAUGCGGCUGAUGCAAAAUGCAUCCAGGAGACUCCCACUGUGGAAGGUUUGGGUAAACAGUUAUAGCAAAACAGCAUGGGACAUCAAUAAAUCUGUUAGGAACCAAAAUGGAUAGAUUUUGUGAGGAGGGGUGGUUAAAAACAACAACAUUAUAAAGAAGUUUAAAAUAGCUGCUGAGCUGGUAAAAAAAAAACUACUGGUCACAAGCCUUUUAGCUCGAAGGCAAACCGCCACAAUCACCCUCUGACUAUCAGUAUAGAGAGGCAAACAAACAGAUAAAUCAUUGUGACAUCUUCAACUUGGACUAGUUUACAAAAACAUGUUAUGUAAUGUGUUAUAUGUGUUUACAUGUAUGAAUUCACUCAUGUUUGUGCAAACAAAGAGGCACUGAACUUGGCUAAAGUUUAGCUCAACUGAUACCAAUACGUUGAUGAUAUCUUUACCUAUUAUUUGAUCAAGCUGAAUAUAUAUAUACAGUACCCAGGUUUCGGACUUAUAAUAAUGCAACAAUAAAUGCAAAUGUAUAUGGUUUAUCUGCAGUGUUGCAGCAAAUUCCACUGUAUCAAAGUCUGAAGACACCGACUGGUUUCCCAUCUCUCUCCGGUGAGUUCAGUGCAGCGGCUCUGUGCUCCACAGAGAGUUAAACACUUUAUUUGCUGAGUCAGAGCAGCUGCCUGCCUGCUGCACCGUGAUAACAGAGCUUUGUACUGCGUGGUAGAAAACAGGCCUAUGGGCAGCAGACCGCCCUGACCUCAACGCUUUACACCGCAUGAAUCAGCUGGCCUUUUACAUAAACACGACAAACAAGACGGCUAUUACUUUCAGGAGAAACUAAGAGAGCAUGGUGAGGGUGUUUCACUGUGCCUUGCAACCUCUUUCUGUGAAAACAAAUGCUGGGUUACCGUCUGGCCGCUCAGGGAUGCAAAUCUAAGAUUCCUGUAAACUGGAAUUUAAACUACAUUAAGCUCGACUUCAAGCUGGGGUUGGUAAUAAUACUAAUAAAAGUUGGUACAAACCUUUUGUAAUAUUUGCAGUUGUCACUUUAUCCUGACAGACAGAUAAUCUAUGAAGUCUCAUUUCCAGGGACCUAAAGUGUCGGUGUUUGACGAUCUGGAAAUGAGACCCAGCAAUCAGUCUUUCUCAGCUCUGAUUGGUUUGUUCUCGUUCAGAUUCGGUAGAUUUUGGAAACUGCCAUUCUGAGCACUAGGAGGAGCCAGAGGAACCUGAUUUAUUUCAUUAUCUGUCUCUUGUCAGGAUAUACUGAAAGUUUCAGCAAAACAUUUAAGGAAAUAAGUAAAUAUA
Long non-coding RNA from Dicentrarchus labrax (European seabass), 7790 nucleotides. NCBI's taxonomy places the organism in Eukaryota, Metazoa, Chordata, Actinopteri, Moronidae. The record is from Ensembl.